This 232-nucleotide ribosomal RNA is filed under the name uncultured bacterium. RNAcentral describes it as "partial 16S ribosomal RNA". It matches the Rfam family "Bacterial small subunit ribosomal RNA", at positions 103 to 334 of the family's 1533-position model. The record is from RNAcentral.
CGGGUGAGUAACACGUAUCCAACCUGCCGUCUACUCUUGGCCAGCCUUCUGAAAGGAAGAUUAAUCCAGGAUGGGAUCAUGAGUUCACAUGUCCGCAUGAUUAAAGGUAUCUUCCGGUAGACGAUGGGAUGCGUUCCAUUAGAUAGUAGGCGGGGUAACGGCCCACCUAGUCAACGAUGGAUAGGGGUUCUGAGAGGAAGGUCCCCCACAUUGGAACUGAGACACGGUCCAA